Molecule: long non-coding RNA, 1345 nt
Filed under: Citrus x clementina
Lineage: Eukaryota; Viridiplantae; Streptophyta; Magnoliopsida; Sapindales; Rutaceae
Description: Citrus clementina (C. clementina) long non-coding RNA (CCLE_LNC006084)
Source: RNAcentral
CACCAGACUUGGCGGGCGGCCUCCGUGUGCCAAAAUAGGCCACGGGCACAGCCGCGCCCAAAAAACAGCCCCCGAAGUUCGGGGUCCCAAGACCCCCCAGCGGAAAAAUGGCCAAAAAACGGUGGGCUAUAGCCUUGGUGGGGGGCGUGGGCGAAGUUCGUCCGUGGGACUCGGAAUGGCACCAGACUUGGCGGGCGGCCUCCGUGUGCCAAAAAUAGGCCACGGGCACAGCCGCGCCCAAAAAACAGCCCCCGAAGUUCGGGAUCCCAAGACCCCCCAGCGGAAAAAUGGCCAAAAAACGGGUGGGCUAUAGCCUUGGUGGGGUGCGUGGGCGAAGUUCGUCCGCGGGACUCGGAAUGGCACCAGACUUGGCGGGCGGCCUCCGUGUGCCAAAAAUAGACCAGGGGCACAGCCGCGCCCAAAAAACAGCGCCCGAAGUUCGGGGUCCCAAGACCCCCCAGCGGAAAAAUGGCCAAAAAACGGGUGGGCUAUAGCCUUGGUGGGGGCGUGGGCGAAGUUCGUCCGCGGGACUCGGAAUGGCACCAAACUUGGCGGGCGGCCUCCGUGUGCCAAAAAUAGGCCACGGGCACAGCCGCGCCCAAAAAACAGCCCCCGAAGUUCGGGGUCCCAAGACCCCCCAGCGGGAAAAUGGCCAAAAAACGGGUGGGCUAUAGCCUUGGUGGGGGGCGUGGGCGAAGUUCGUCCGAGGGACUCGGAAUGGCACCAGACUUGGCGGGCGGCCUCCGUGUGCCAAAAAUAGGCCACGGGCACAGCCGCGCCCAAAAAACAGCCCCCGAAGUUCGGGAUCCCAAGACCCCCCAGCGGAAAAAUGGCCAAAAAACGGGUGGGCUAUAGCCUUGGUGGGGUGCGUGGGCGAAGUUCGUCCGCGGGACUCGGAAUGGCACCAGACUUGGCGGGCGGCCUCCGUGUGCCAAAAAUAGACCACGGGCACAGCCGCGCCCAAAAAACAGCACCCGAAGUUCGGGGUCCCAAGACCCCCCAGCGGAAAAAUGGCCAAAAAACGGGUGGGCUAUAGCCUUGGUGGGGGCGUGGGCGAAGUUCGUCCGCGGGACUCGGAAUGGCACCAGACUUGGCGGGCGGCCUCCGUGUGCCAAAAAUAGGCCACGGGCACAGCCGCGCCCAAAAAAAAGCCCCCGAAGUUCGGGGUCCCAAGACCCCCCAGCGGGAAAAUGGCCAAAAAACGGGUGGGCUAUAGCCUUGGUGGGGGGCGUGGGCGAAGUUCGUCCGAGGGACUCGGAAUGGCACCAGACUUGGCGGGCGGCCUCCGUGUGCCAAAAAUAGGCCACGGGCACAGCCGCGCCCAAAAAACAGCCCCCGAAGUUNN